GCUCCUGCUCCAUCUCCUUACCACCACGGCCACCACCACCCACAUCCUCCCCAUCACCACCACCCUCACCCUCACCCACCGGCAAAAGCCCCUGUCAAGCCGCCGGUUUCUCCACCUUCUAAACCUCCGGUUAAGCCUCCAGUUUACCCCCCAACCAAAUCCCCGGUUAAGCCCCCAACUAAACCUCCGGUUAAGCCACCAGUUUCCCCACCAGCAAAACCUCCUGUUAAACCUCCGGUUUACCCUCCGACCAAAGCUCCAGUUAAGCCCCCAGUCAAACCUCCGGUUAAGCCACCAGUUUCACCACCGGCCAAACCUCCAAUAAAGCCACCAGUUUCACCACCGGCCAAACCUCCGGUUAAGCCCCCGGUUUACCCUCCGACCAAAGCCCCUGUUAAGCCCCCGACCAAAGCCCCGGCUAAGCCUCCGGUCUCUCCUCCAGCCAAACCACCAGUAUCCCCUCCAGCUAAGCCACCGGUGAAGCCACCGGUUUACCCGCCAAAAUUCAACAGAAGCCUAAUCGCGGUUCAGGGUACGGUCUUCUGCAAAAGCUGCCAGUACGCUUCUUUCGAUUCACUCAUUGGCGCCAAACCCGUUGAAGGUUAGAAAUUCUUACUCCAUCUGUUUUCGAUUGAAAGUAGUUUUAACAAAAAAAAUUUGUUUGACAAUAUAACUAGUUUACAUAUUUGAAUGCAUUUUUUUAUUUAUUGGAUAUUAUGCUACCAAUAAAAUAAUGUUAAUUUUUUCAUAAUUGGUUGAAUUAAUUGAUUAAUUGAUUAAAUGUUUUUUUUAAACAACAAUUUUUAAAUAUUUGUACUUUUAAGUAAAACUACUUACAAUUAGAAACAAAUGGAGUAGUUAAUUAUUGCUACUCCUUCAGUUUCGAUUUAAUUGUUGUUGCAAAGAAAAAUUUUAGUUUUAAAAUAAGUGUCGUUCUAAAGUUCCAAUGUAAAAUUUAUUAGAUUUUCCAUUUUAUAUUUUAUUACUUUAAAUAUGGUUAGGUCUAUAGUUAAUUAUGUUUUUUUUGUUUCGGAAAUAUACAAAAUCAUUAGUCUUAAAUCUAGAACGAUAAUUAAAAUAAAACAGAGGGAGUAGUAUUUUUCACAUAGGUUCUUUAUUUUACACAUACACAAAUAAACACACACUAAAUUCAUCGUAUCUGAAACAACUCAACGUCUCAACGUGCUGGUCUGCAUGCGCAUUUAUUUAAUACUGUACACGUAUAUUUGUAAGACAAUACGUACUUGAUAUCAAAUCAUGACGCAAAUUUCUAAAAAUAAUUCAAAUUUCAACACAUCAUAAGUGGGACCACCGGUACGAAAACUAUAAUAUGGUUUCCAAAGUAUUUACUUCUGCACUCAUCAGUCACUGUUUUUAUUGUCUGUCCCAGAAAUUUCGUGAAGACCAAAGAAAGUAGUUAAAAAGCACCUAACUAGUUCCAUUAGUCCAAAAACGCAUCUAACGAUAUUAUCUUUUAAUUAUUUCUUUAGGUGCUGUUGUGAGACUACUGUGUAAGAGCAAGAAGAACAUAGUCGCGGAGACCAAGACGGACAAGAACGGAUACUUCUUGUUGUUGGGCCCGAAGACGGUGACAAACUACGGUUUCAGAGGAUGUCGUGUGUAUCUUGUGAAAUCAAAGGACUACAAAUGCAAUAAAGUGUCAAAGCUAUUCGGUGGAGAUGUCGGUGCCGUACUCAAGCCGGAGAAAAGGAAGGGGAAAUCUGCGGUGGUCAUUAAUCAGCUCAUCUACGGUAUCUUUAACGUUGGACCGUUUGCGUUCGACCCGGUCUGCC
This 1793-nucleotide long non-coding RNA is filed under the name Brassica rapa (field mustard). RNAcentral's name for it is "long non-coding RNA (BRAP_LNC007076)". Lineage: Eukaryota; Viridiplantae; Streptophyta; Magnoliopsida; Brassicales; Brassicaceae. The record is from RNAcentral.